Molecule: ribosomal RNA, 615 nt
Filed under: uncultured archaeon
Lineage: Archaea
Description: bacterial SSU rRNA
Rfam family: Archaeal small subunit ribosomal RNA
Source: RNAcentral
ACUGAGACACGGACCCAGGCCCUAUGGNGCGCAGCAGGCGAGAAACCUUUGCAAUGUGCGAAAGCACGACAAGGUUAAUCCGAGUGUCUCCUGCUAAAGGAGUCUUUUGUCAGUUGUAGAAUCACUGGUGAAUAAGGGGUGGGCAAGUUCUGGUGUCAGCCGCCGCGGUAAAACCAGCACCUCGAGUGGUCAGGAGGUUUAUUGGGCCUAAAGCAUCCGUAGCCGGUUGCAUAAGUUUUCGGUUAAAUCUAUGCGCUUAACGUAUAGGCCGCCGAAAAUACUGUGCAGCUAGGGAGUGGGAGAGGUACACGGUACUCGAUAGGAAGGGGUAAAAUCCUUUGAUCUAUUGAAGACCACCUGUGGCGAAGGCGGUGUACCAGAACACGUUCGACGGUGAGGGAUGAAUGCUGGGGGAGCAAACCGGAUUAGAUACCCGGGUAGUCCCAGCUGUAAACGAUGCAGACUCGGUGAUGCAUUGGCUUGUGGCCAAUGCGGUGCCGCAGGGAAGCCGUUAAGUCUGCCGCCUGGGAAGUACGUACGCAGGUAUGAAACUUAAAGGAAUUGGCGGGGGAGCACCACAAGGGUGAAGCCUGCGGUUCAAUUGGAGUCACGCCG